This 41014-nucleotide long non-coding RNA is filed under the name Gallus gallus (chicken). RNAcentral's name for it is "lncRNA (ENSGALG00010023692.1)". Lineage: Eukaryota; Metazoa; Chordata; Aves; Galliformes; Phasianidae. The record is from RNAcentral.
CGGAGCGGAGCGGAGAAGAGAGGAGCGGGCGGCGGGGUGAGCUCAUCCCGGGCGCUGAGCGCAGCCGAGCGGCGCGGAGGGCGAGCCGCCGCGGCAACUUUCUUGGCUUCCUCUGCUUUUACUAAUGCGAUGGCUGUUGUUCUGGCCCCUUCCUGCAGACGUCACUGAGAUUUCAGAUACACCUAGAGAACAACAGGCCUUAUAAGACCAGACUGCUGAGGGGGAAAGGAGCCUCAGUUCUGGUAAGAGCUGCAUGGUGGUGAUGGCAGUCACUUGGAGGAGCUGUGGAAUUUAUGCAAUUGCAUGGCAGAAACGUAAGCUGGAGCAUCUGAGUUCUUAAAUAUCAGUUUUGGUUAAGCGUGGGAGAGAUCUGAAGGUGCCAACGGGCAGGACAGGGGCACUGUCAGAAGAGGACAUCCUGACAUUGAAAAGAGGUUUGAUCUUCUCUCAUCGUGCUUUUAAAUGUUGGACAGUGAGGCUGCAGGUAAAGCAGCAUUUGUAAUGAUUUACUCUUAAACUCUGGAUCAUGUACAAGAUAGGUUUGUGACAUGAGAUCAGUCCCUUUUUAGAGAAGCAAAAUGAAUUUUUAUGCCCAUCUGAGAGGGAAAUGUCUAAGAUAAGCUUUGUGUUGUCUGACAUCAGUGCCUUGUGGUAGAGGCCUCACGUGAAGCAGUAAUGGGGCUGGGCUCCUCCUCCUCCCCAUCUCCCCGUUCUCAGCUUCCUCCUCUCCAUCUCAGCUGCUGCUCUUUGAUGUGCAAUCUGGACUCAGUAGGCCCUGUCUCCCUCUCCAUCACUUCUCAGAACAGGUAUCUUUGAUCCCUGUUCCCUUAAAACACUGAGGAGGUACAGGUCACGUCACCUGCGGUGACUAUGUGCAGGACCUGAUACUAGACCAUAAGGAAUCAUGAAUCCUCUAGGUGAAUAACUUGUUGUUUGUCUGCUGUAGUAAGACAGUUUUGCAGCUCUUGGCAGUAGUCUGUCAUAAAGUUUGAGUCUUUGUCAGGUGCUCUGCAGUGAUCAGUAUUACAGGGCCUGCUGUAACACAUAGCUGUUUCCUCUGUGUGGAAGAAGGGAGAAAAAGAGCAAAGAGAGCUGCCUUAGUUGGUGGGAACAGCGUACCCAAACUUAUGGGAAGGUUACAAAAUUAGAACGCUGGUUCGAUGGUGCUGUGAUCAGGGCUUUAGGAUUCCCAGUAUCGGAUCAGAAGUACAGUGGUCACAUCAUGGAAAAUAUUGAUCUCAUAAAUUAUUUUUUGCUUUAAUUAAAGGAAAAGAAAAAGGAUGUCAGGUGCCAGCAUGCCUAUUUUAUAUUAGACAUUAUUCAGAUCACUACUAUUUUGUACUGGAUUAGAUAUUAGGCACUUUCACUGAUAGCAAUUUGGUACCACGUUCUGGUGCACCUGAUAGAAUUUAAUUACAUGCCUAAGUCUCAUUUGAUGUAAACUUGCCUUGUUCUGUGAUGAAGUAGUACAGAUACUUGCUGUUAAGGGCGAUGAAACUAUCAUUCAGUAUCUUCUGUGACUUCCAGGUGAGUUUGCAGGUGUUUUAAAAAGCUUAGUUUUACAGCUUUGUUUUUUAACUGUUAGUAAUUUAAAAACACACUUUGAUUUUGUUCAACAUUUGAAUGCUCAAGGAGAGGAUGCGUGCACUGUGCAGCCACUCUUGUCUAAAAUUGUGGAAGGAUGCUUUCAGAUGUAAUAAGUAUGAGUCUUCAUCACAUUUAUCUUCAUUCUGUUUGUUGUUUAUUAAUGUUAUGCCAAAACCUAUUUCUAAUUUUGUAAGAAGAAAAAAUAAUUCAUCCCUAGUGAAGCAGAUUUUUUUCUUGCAUUCUCCGUAAGUUUCUUGAUAUAUUUGUGUGUUGUCUGUCAUUUUUUUUAAAUCUGGAGAAUGUUUAAAAAUAAUGGCUCCGUUAAAGGAAAGGAUUUUAAUGGGAUCAUAAAUGUUCUGUUGGCUCUUUCUUAUUAAACGUGGUUUAGAAACGGAAUCUCCUUCUGAAGCCAUUUACAUAUUCUUCUAAGCUCUCCGUAGUUGACCUGAUUCUACCACAAGCUGCUGUUUGUCUUUCAGGAUGUGAAUUGGUCUUAUCUUUUUAAGACUUCUGACCUUUCUUUAAAUCAUUUGGAAAAGGGAGAAAUGUGAUCUUCUAGGGUUGUGACGAAGUGGAAACUCUGUGGUGGUUUUUUGUUCUACUCAAAAAUGCCACUCAACAUCUGAGGAUCGUUUCUGACAGAAGGGGUUCAUGAGCAGUGUUGUGGGUCUGAAAGUGCUGCGAGAGACACAUUUGCUGUUGUUGCAGCGGUGGGAAACGGCUGACAAAGCAGUUUCUUAAGGACUUGGUUUCAGAGCAAUUUUGUUUUUAACUUCCAACUCUUAGGAAUUCAGUUUAAAUUUUCUCUUUCUAUAGUGGUUUGGAAAAAGAGGGAUUUUUCACUGUCCUAGAAGCCGAAGGGUCUUUCUUUGGUGUGAUAAUGGGAUUUUAAUGGCUUCACACAUGUUUUUGGUAGGAUUGUCUGGAGGCAUCAUGCAGAUAAUCUGUAUGAGAAGAGCUUAAUUCUGCACGCUCAUCCACCUGCAGACCGCCAUGUGUUUAUGGAGGCCCCUUCACUGGCAGAUAGUUACCCCUUGGCUCUCAGGGUCCUCCCAUCACAACGUGCUGCCCUGAGCAUAGUAAAGGUGCUUGGGACGUUGUCCAGUUUGGGCAUCUCCAAAGGUGGAAAUUCUACAGCGUUCCUGUCCUGACCUGUUUCAGCAUUCAGUUACCUUUGGUGACAUUCCAUUUUUUGAUGUCAGCAAGAUGUUUCUGUUGUUUAACGUGCUGCAGCUGUAUUUCUGAAUGCUGUUUGAGUGCAGUGCCUGCCAGGAGCCGAGGGAAAAGGGUUCUCCAGGAUGCUAUUCAGAAAUUGCCUUUCAUUGUUUGAUUUCAGUUCAGUUUGUGAGCCAUAUCUCAGCAGCAAGCUGGAGUUAUUCAAUGGAUAGUAGUUCAAAUUCACUUUUUGACCCGCUAGUCCAAUGUGUUACACCUUCUGGAAGCUUUCAAAGAAUGCCAUUUGUAUCGGCAGUGUUCUGCUGGCUUCUGGGAACAGGUGGCCUUAUCCUUCUGUAGGUGUGCACAGAAAUGUCCUGUCUGUGGAGGGUUGGCACACCUGUGCCUUCCGCCUGAAACUUGCCAUUGAAGGAUUCGUUUCCAUGCAUACACACGAGUCAGUCUACUAGAGGUCUGUGUUUUCCUUUCUCUGGAAACACGGCAUCUUUUUUUCCUAUGGAAAAAAAAAAUGCAUAGAAAUGCAUGAGGAAAAAUGUGUAGUGCAGCCUCUGUUAAGGCUCGGUAUCAUGCACUGAACAGGACUUCACUAUGGGACACUGAUGUUCUGUGUGCCUUGCUGUUUGUUCUUCUCUUUACCACACUUCUAAUGAUAGCUAAAGCACAGUACAGAUUUACAGCAAAAUUUAUUAGCUAUUUUUGUGUGAUGGUUAUUUUGUAUCAGAUUUGAUUACGUACACACAGGUGGUUUGGGAAACCUUGCUCAUUCCACACACAGCAAGUAUCCUGUAGAUCCAGUGUAGUAAUUUUGAUGUUAGUGUCAAUGUUAGUUUCAAUACCUUGAGUAAGCAGAAAGCAGCAGUAAACGUGGAGGUGAAUUUUGGUGGAUAAAUGGGAGCUGUAGGCUGCAGGAGGUCCCUGGAGACCACCCAGUCCAGCUCCACCUCUCAGAGCACAGCCUAUGUAAAUCAGAGCUGUACAGUGAGAGUACAGCUGUGAUGAGUUUGGCACAGCCCUUGCUGUAAUCUCCCUGGAGGUUGGUGUAAAAGCAAGUUGACCCACCCAAACUUUCUGCAGACUAAGAAACCCAGGUGUCCCAGCUCCACGUGUUCAUCGUGUGCUUCAUCCCCAGCCACUUCAUGGGCCCUUUGCUGAACCUGCUUUGCCACGACUUCCUAAUGCACUCUGAAACUGAGCCACUGUUGCAGGAAUGCUGAAUAGAAGUGAACGUUACUUGUUAGGUUUAGGCAGUGCUGAUGAACCCUGCAAGGCAAAUGCUGUUACUUAAUCUUUCCUGUGGUUUGAGAUGAUGUGCUUUCAAAAAUUUCUAUUUUCAUCUCUAGAUGCAUGAGAAACUUUUGAUUGAAUCAUUUUUACCAUAGCACUUUCCAGAAAGCAUUAUUUACGUUGUCUGGCUUGAAGGAGACUUUCUAAUUUGUAGCCAAACUUGUUGCAUGCAGCUGCAGAUUUAAUCAAUAUAUUUCACUGCUCUUUGAAGUUUUUUUUUCCUUCUAAAUUGAACUUGGUGGUUGCAAAUCAUUGUAGUUAUUCUACUGAUGUAUUUUACUUGGUGUAGCAUGUUAUGUUGGUUUGUAUUGUAUUUCUUCAGCCCAGCCAUCAAACAAACCAUUGUGGUUGUCUGACUUUCAGUGGAAAAAGUAAUUUUCUACCCACUUUAUUCUUAGCAUCUUAGUAUCAGCUUUCAACUUAUAAAUUACCGUUUGCUUGAUCUGCAUGCAAGGAUGCACUUUGCACCAUGUUUUAAUGUGUUGCCAUUAAAAUCAAUAGAACUCAUGCCAGAAUAAAUGCUUAUGGCAGAAAUGUGAAAGCGGGCAUUAUCGAUAAUAGUGAAUAGGGGUUGCAGUAAUGGUGGUGGGGAGCAGAGAAGAGACAGUGAGUGUAUUUUUAUCUGGGCUGGGUUGAUCUUCCAUGCGAAGCCAUGAGAAAAGGCACUUUGUCCUUGCUGCUCCUAUCUCUUACCACAGCACGUGUGACAUCUCGCAGGCUGUGCACAGUCUGCAGAGCAGAGCUUGGUGUGGUGGGCGCUGUCACAGUGUAGAGCUGAGUUGAUGCAGAGCUCAGACCCUCAGCCUUGGGCUUGAGUCGGACCUCUCGUGGUAAGGCUUUCAAUACUGCAACUUUGGUUUUUGCCAAUGACUAACUGCUCUUGCUAAAACUUGCUGGGCCCCAGAACCCACUAUUUUUUUGGCAAUUGCACUGCUAGUGCUUUGGACUGGCUGCUGGCUGCUCCAUCAAUGGCUUAAUUUGUGAAGUGCUGUGCGGCGUUUUCAGGACAUGAGCCCUAACCAGCUUGCAGCCUGUGCUUGUCAUGGCAGUCCUGCCUUUCACCUCAUGGGAAAAGUUUUAUCUGGGGCAAUUAUGUAUAAUUGAACCACUCUUGCUAUCUUGCUAAUGUUACCUUUUUCUGUUAAAUACAUCAGUGGACACUGAUGAGAUAAAAAUGUAAACUGCCUCUAUUUGAUUAGUUUUGUGCUUCUUAGAUUAUUUAAGUGAUUCUUUUCAUCUGCCUUGAAAUUAAGUGGUUUGUCAUUUGGAAUUCCAGCCAGCUGUUGUUUCCUACCUCUGAUUGUUUAUUUUAUCUCUACAAAGACCUUUUUUUAAGUAAGCAUUUUUCGUACAGGUUUUUGUGUGCAGUUGUUACUUACUCUCUGUAAUUACAAGUGUGGACUUUCUAAGUGAUGAUUUGUUCUUCUAGAAUCGCUUGUAUAAGUGUGCACUGUUCAUGAAACUGUUCUGUGCUAAAACUGCAGUUUUAGUGUUUCCUCCAUUCAUUUUCCUACCAGGUCCACAUGAACAGUGUUUUUUCCCUUUGCUGUUUUCAGUUCAUCUGAAGAAAAAGUUAAUCCAGUGUAUUCACGAUGACAAACUUUUCCAAGUUUGAAAGCAUUAAAUGUGUUUCUUGCAGAAACUGUACUGUUCAGGAGCUUCUAAAACAGUACUGGGUGUGGACAAAGAUUAUCAGUUAGGAUAAGAGUAUGGCAAAUGGUGUCGUCUUUCACUUUUUGUAACAGGUUUUAUUCUUGCUGUUCAAAUUCCUAACCUUACUGUGGAAACAACAAUAUUUAUAGUGGAUAUGGAUCUACUAAAACUCACUAGACCUGCAGAAAGCAACUUGUUAAUGAACCACAUAUGUAAAUCAACACCUCAGCAGAAAGCAAUGCUGCGUUUUUAGGAUGGAGUGUCUUUGGGUUAAUUCAUAUGAAAUACAUGGCUUUUAUAUGGGAUGCCAUAGAUAUGUUGCUUUUUAGUGAAGAUUUGAUGUCCUGGAUCUUGAAAUACCAAAUAGUAUUUGUAUUUUGAGGGCUGAAGGAUAGGAAAGGAAAUAAAAACAUUCAUGUUUCUGACUUGAGUUUCCUCUGCAUGAAAUGCUAGUUAUGUGAAUAGGAAUACAGCAUUGCUAGUUAACACAGAUAAGAAGCAGUGUGGUAAACUUGAAUUAAUCUUUCCUCACCAUUCAGUACAUUGUUAAAUGUUUUAUUAAAACUGGAUUAUGUUAUUGGCAAAAUAUUAUAUGAGAUAGAAGUACUUGGUUUGCAUCCUUAGCCAGCCCUUGGGCUGAGAGGAAGAUGCACGUACAAGUGGGAAUUGCUGUGAAUGUGCUUCCUGCUGCUCUACUCUAGGACAGCAGCCUGUGCUAGUUCAGUAUUGGUCUGUGCUGGGACUGGAUUAUGCCAGAUGGUAACAGGGGUCAUUUUGACUUUUGCUGAGAAGGCUGAAUCUGGAACUCUCUCUGGCUGUUCUUGCAUUUCAGUAUGUACUCAGUUCAGGUUUUGAUAUGGAAACUAAAUGUGCUGGAAAGCAACUGUAGGCAAGGUGAGUGCAGAUCUAAAGUUUCCAGCAAACUCAAAGAAUUAAUCUAGUAAAUUAAUCUAGUGAAUUUGUUUUAAUUUUGAAAUUCUUCAUUAUCAAAAAACCCAAACUGCCACCACCACCAAAAAUUCUUUAAAAGAACUCUUUAAAAGAACAAACCAAAUCACACCCAUCCUCUAGAGAACCUUAAGAGAAGAGAAAUUUAAUUUCAUUUUGCAGAAUUAAGAUGGAAUUAACCAAGCCAUUGGCUGAUGACCACUGAAAGAGGAGGAACAUGCAAUGGGCAGUAGGGAUCAUAGAAUCAUAGAAUUGCUAAGGUUGGAAAAGACCCACAGGAUCAUCCAGUCCAACCAUUCGCCCUUCACCCAUGGUUCUCACUAAACCAUGUCCCUCAACACAACAUCCAAAUGUUCCUUGAACACCACCAGGCUCGGUGACUCCACCACCUCUCUGGGCAGCCCAUUCCAGUGCCUGACCACCCUUUCAGAGUAGUAGUAUUUCCUAAUGUCCAGCCUGAAUCUUCCCUGGUGCAGCUUGAAGCCAUUCCUCUAGUCCUAAAUGUCCCUCUAGGCCUAAAAGUCCUAGGAUGUGUUGCUGCUGAACUCCAGACCUGCACCAAGUUGUCUUUUGGUUGAGAGCCAUUACUAAAGAAAAAUGCUACCAAGUGCCGCACUGCUUUAUAGGCUGACUUCGUUGCUUGCUGCAUCUCCUGAGGGGUAAACAUUAACUCCAGCCUGCGAGAAGAUGAAGCAAGAACUGAUGAGAAUGUGUUCCACCUAUAAUCAAUCACUCUUGCUUAUUUUUAUGUUGAGGUGAGUACUGUGUGGUUUUUUUAUGUUAGGAUAAUGGUGUUCAGUUAAGUUAUACAUAGACAAGUCCAUCUUACAUGUAUUUGUUGGAACAUAAGCAUUUCACUUCUGGAAUUUUACUCAAUGACAGUCUGGUCAUUUGAAAAUUAAGAGAGAAAUUGACUUUUAAAACAAACAAACCCUGAAGUAGCUCUGCGCAUCUAGGUAUGUGAGACUAUUGCUGUAACACUCCUGAGAGACUAUGGCAAAGGAUAUCUUAAAUGCAAGAGGAAGGUUUUUUUAGAGAGAGAAGAAAAGCACAGAAAAACCCACUGGUGGUUUUUGUUAACGUCUCGAUCCAGUGAAUUUUUCAAGUGCCAUUUAAAAUACCAGCUUCUUCAGAAUCAAGUAUGUAGGUUGCUCUGAAAUUAAUGCCUCUGAUUUAUUUCCAUGGAAACUACAAUGUAUACAGAGAGCACAGUAGCACUAUUUGAGAGGGCAAAUUCUCAUCUUUAAAACACUGUUUUCCAACAUAGUCACCAUCAUUACCUAUGCGUUUUUUCCAGCAACAGACAAGAGCCUGCAUGCCUUGCUCUUAAAAGUCGGCACCAAUGUAGGUGACCCAUUAUUUCACAGCUGCUGUGAUGGCACUGUUGCCACGAAAAUAUUGACUAUGCUGUCCAUCUUUCAUCAGUCCAAACAGAUGGAAGUCAGAAGGCACCAAGUAUGGACUAUGAAGUCACUGGGUGUGGUAGGACAGUCCAGCCAAGACUGGCAAUGUGCUUCGCAAUCUUCAAACUGGUAUGGGUCCUGCUGUUCUUGUGUUGCAAGAGAAAGGUUGUCUUCUUCUCUGGCCUGACUCUGGAAGUUUGAGCCUUGAGCUCAUGAUGCAUCAGUUGGAGUUGAUGGCUUGUUGGGUUGCAGGAAAUCCAGAAAGAUGACCCCUUUCCUGUCCUAAAAGACAGUGUACACUGCUUUACCUGCUGAGGGCUGUGACCUGAACUUUUUCUUCAGUGGGGAAUUCACGUUUCCACUCCAUGGACUGUUGUUUUAACUCUGACUCAUAGUGGUGACAUUGUCUCAUCACCAGUAAUGAUGUGAUCACCUUCAGUCCUGUAUUGGUUCAGUAGACCCUGACAAACUUGUAUAUGAUUUUCUUUCCGUUCCUGUGUAAUUGUGGGACCCACUUGGUGCAAAAUUUGUGAUAUUCCAAUGUUGCCACCAUUACUUCCAAUGCAUUGAAGCUGAUAUUCAUCUCUAUAUGCAGUUGUCUGGUUGUAUUCUGCCAAUUUGUGUGGAUGAGCUGAUCGAGACUCUUUGUUUCAUGGUGUGACAGCUGUGAGUGGCUAGCUGGAAUGUUGCUUGUCUUUCAGUUUGCUGUUGCCACUGCUGAAACAUACCACUCCCGAAGUGAGAGCCUGUGCUCUCACCCACUGUUUGGUCUCUGUAAGUGUUCAGCAAGUAUCGGUGAAUGUCAGUAGGUGCAGAUUUUUCCACAUGGAGGAAUUCAGUGACACACCUUUGCUUCAUAUGUACUUCCAUGUCAGACACCAUUCUGUCAGACUCCCCUCUGCUGCCGUCUGUCACGUGGCACGAAAUAUAAUGGAAUAGCUGGGGGAAGGUUCAAGCUCUACUGCUAUACCACCAUCAUCCACCUUUGAUGUCAUGGGCCAAUAAAAUGGGAGGCAUUACUUUUGAAACAAAACUCGUAGUUCAGAACUGCUUUACUCUGCUUGUUCAACUGGCUGUUCCUGCUGUGGGAUGUGAAUGGGGGAUGUGUUCAGCAGGCAAGUGUUCAAACUGAUUGUUCAGCUAAAGGAUGAUCUUGCCAAAAGGGCUUUUUGUGUUCAGAACAAAUUGCACAAAUUGAUUCCUUUUGUAUACCUAAAGGAAUAUUGAAGCGUAUGGCGCAUCCGUAAUUGAACUUGCCGUGUAGUUACAUUGACUUUCACAGUUCACUCUGCGAUACGCAGACUGAAUUGCUUAUAUCAGGCAUGUCCAGCCUGUGGGCUGCGUGCAGACUGGCAUAGCUCACAAUGCGCCUGAGAAUGACAACCACUUCCAUUGAAUUGGACUGAAGCGUUACUUUUGCAAAAGCAAGGUCAGAUAUCCUGCUAGUUCUUUGGUUUUAUUGUUCUCCUUUCUAUACGUUUUAAUAAGAACAUUAAAAAUAAAAUCAGUUUUGUUACUUAAAUACAUGAGCUAGAGUAUAUGUAUUUAUGGGGGCAGAUCUGAAAGUAAUGCCUCCUAUUUUAUGAUGUUGGCUCGCUAUGUCAGAGGUGGAUGUUUGUGGUAUGGCAGUAGAGGUUGAACCUUCCCAACAACAUUCCGUUACAUUUUGGUGCCAUGUGACAGAUGGCAGCAGAGGGGCAGUCUGAAAACAUGACAUCUGACAUGGAAGUGUAGAUGAAGCAAAGGUGCAUCAUUGAAUUCCUCCAUGUGGCACCCACUGACAUUUAUUGAUGCUUGCUGAGUGAUUGUAGAGACCAAGCAGUGCAUGUGAGCACAGUGGGAGUGGGUGGUGUGUUUCAGCAGCGGUGACAGUGGGUCAUCUCUGCUGGUGCAGAUUUCUGCAUGCACAGCACGCAGGCUCUUGUUCAUCGCUAGUGAAUAUGUGUCGCUAAUGGUAAUGACUGUGUUGAAAAAGAGUGUUCUGUUGCUGAGAAUUUGCUCUAUUAAAUAGUGUUAUUGUGCUCUUUGUAUCUGUUAUCAUUUCCAUGGAAAUAAAUAGGAGACACUAGUUUGAGAGCAACCUUCACAGUGCAACCCUGGCCAAUUCACUUCACUCAGUGUGUCCCAGGCAAGGGAAGGUUUGGUGUUCUUGGCAUAUAUGGUUACAGCUGUGGUUGAAAUCUCCUUGGUAAGGUUGGUUACAAGAGAAGAAUUUUAGAUUUCUUUUUUAUAAUGUUGUUGCUGAAAAUAUCAAAUCUCCAACCUCCAGUAUGAUUUAAGUGAAAAACAGUCUUUGUUUAUAUUAACUAUAUUAACCAGAUAUUAACUAUGGCAGGGAUAAGAUUAUAAAGAUUUUUGUGAACCUACAGUUGUAUUGAGGAAUUGAUGAGCAGGAUAAGAGUUCAUUGAGCUUGCACUUGCUUGUUACUGUAAUGCAGAAUGAAUUGCUCCUGGUGUGCAAGUGGAAAGAACAGAGGAAAUUAUGAAGGGUAAAAGCCAGCAAGCAAGUCCAGCCUUUUUCUAUUUCAGCAUAGGGUGAAAUGCUGUUGUUUUGAAUACUUCAGGCAGUGAAGUGGUAGUGGGCAGGCAUGAGGAGCUUCCACAAUACAGACCUUCAGUGACAGAAUACUGAGUUUGUGAAGGGAUUGUAGAUGUAUUUUCUGGCGUGUGUUUGUUCUGAAAUCUAAGAAUAUGAGGUGCAGUACUGGCUGUGAAAGCUGUUGGAAGCAGAGCAUUUCUUAAAAAUUGGUUUUAGUCAUGGCUGUUAGUACGGAGUAGCUUUGGGGAGUUGGUUUGGUUUCAAAAUAUCCUCAAAGGAUUUUCAUUUGAACUUGAGAAGCUUUUUAUCUUUUCAGGUCUUAAAGUUUUGGCUGAUAAAUUUUGUGGCACGCAGGAAGAAGCUCACAUUGUAAAGAAACUUGAAGAGGAGUCAGUUGAGAAGGAAAUCUCCUGUUCCUUUUGAAGAUCAAAUCCAUGGAGUGCAGUUAGACCAUGUCUGGAUUUUCUGUGCUAUUUCUUUUGCUUCGUAGCUGUUUCGUUGUAAUAGUUUCUGACCUCCUACUGUGGAGGAGUUUGUUGUUUAUGGAAUGGAAAGCAGAAUGACUUCAAAAGACAAACAAACAAAAUGAACCAAACAAACAAAAACACAAAAAAAAUUGGUAAGUGUUUGGAAGGGCCUUGAUGGACAGGAAGGAUCAUCUUACCGCAAAAUUGAUUCAGUACAGUAACUCUAUAUAGACUUCAAGCUCUUUCAUUUCUACCCAAGGAAACUUAACUUUUUUUUUCCAUGCAAUUCCAGAUUGGUUUUGGCUUAAAUUUCAUGGGUUCGGCUUAAUAUUUUUUAAACAUAAAAUUCUUCUGUGCUUGACACAAUGGAGAGCAGGCAAAUGCGAUUUGCCCUGUGUGCAGGUGUAUUUCAGCACGUUUCCUGGAAAGGAUAGCUGAAGGAAGAAGGAGAGUUGUCAUUUACUGUGGAGUUCCAGGUAGCCAGAAAUAGCUUAGGUUCUCUUUUCUUCUGAGAAGUCCUUCAAAAGGUCCUCGAGUAUUGAGUUCAGUCAUUCUUCUCUAAAAUGAUUUGCACUUUCUUAGUUAGAAUUUGUGUUGGUUUUGAUAGAAGAAUUUUUUUUGUGAAUUUUCAGCAUUUCUGAGGUACUUGUCGCCUAACCUAAGCUGCUCCGGGAGAACCUGCAUUAAUCUAUUGCAUGAAGGAGGAUCAUUUUUUCUGAAUGGUAGUGAGCACAUUUCGGAUGCCCAAAGUAACAGAAUGUGGCUUAGACAGAAAACCAUUUUUUUUCUUUGCUCGCUCUCCUUUGCAGUUUUGAUGCAAGGUGAUGUCUCCUAAAACAAUUUGUUUGACAGCUGAGGAAAAGGACUGAUGACUUGCACAGUGCACUUCACGAUGCACUGGAGUCCCCUGCUUGUCACACCUAUACCUGAAAUUGCAUUAUGACUGGUGUUUGUCACUGAAGGUGCCUGCUCCAGGAGCCUUGACUUUCCCCUGCUCUGCAUGGGACCUACCCCUCAGGUACAUGGCUGCACCAUGCAGCACACUGCCUUCUGCUCUCAGAUCUGCUUGCUCAACUGAGAAAGCAGCAGAAAGGAGAGAGGCUGCAGGAUGGUUGCUCAUCAAACCACAUCCUAAAGGUGGUGUAGCAACUUGAGGUGUAUGUUGCCAUCCCUUAAAGACCAGCAAAGCUGGUAAGCGCUUUGGAGAAGGGUGAAUCAAGCUGAAAAUAAGUCAAUUACUUGAAAGCUGGUAUAGCCUUCAUUUGUAAAACAAGCAGAGUAUAGGUUUUGCAAGUAUAGAGAAGAAGCUGUCUCAUCUUCUGAGUGAUUUGCAACUACAAUAACUCUUCUGUAGUUCUUUUUUUUUUUUUAUACCUGUCUGUGUUCAAAUGAGGGUGCUGACUGAGGCUGCUGUGGGUCGUUUUAGACACUAGAGGCUGAGCUGAGACAAACAGACCCUUUUCUUUUUUCCCCCCCCCCUCUCCUGGGGUGCAUCACUCCUUUCAUUUCUGAGUGCAGUUCUGAGAAGAAAAAAGCCUCAAGAGCAUCAGUGGUUUGAUGUAUUUAUGAUUUUUCUGCAUGUUCCUGUUGUGAAGCCUACUGUUCUCUUUUUUUCUCUCAUCUUUCAAAACUGUAUUACAGCAGCAUGGCCAUUGCUACCAAUCUGUGCAGGGCAGAUUGUUUCUGUGAAUGCAUUCCAACAGGUGUGUUGUUUUUGUUUUCCUGCCAUUUAUUUUGCAAUUUAGUAUGAACACAGUACUUUACAUCUGUAUGUCAGUCCAGUUCGAACAAGUUCAGCUCAAGUAGUGGUUGAGUUGCGGUUUUGAAGGCAUGACUGCUUGGCAGCCUACGUCUGUAAAUGCUUUGGUGCUUUCAGCACAUAAUGUUUUGGGGCAGUCAUAGUGCAAUUGCAUAAUCUUAAAUUAUGUGCUUUACAAAUGAGAGAUGAUUAUAAGGAUUGAAUGCGAGCAUGGAGCAGUUGAAAACUUGAUGCAUGAAAAAGAAUCUAAGCUCUUGUCAGUGCACCAUGCUUUUUUUUUUUUAAGGAAAAAAAACAACCCAAUUUCUUUAUGAGGGCAUGUCUAGUUCAAUUUAACAUGAACCUUAUGAUGCCAGAGGAAUGUGAGAGAUUUCUUCCAGUUUUUGUAGGAUUUCCUUAAUGCAAUGCAUUGUUCAACGUUGUUGCACUUCACUCUUCCCCUGCCCCAAAUGAUGGGCUGGAAACCAUUCAUUUAUUAUAAGGAGGAAAAUUAAGGGAAAGUUCUAGUAGUGUUCAGUACGUGUUUUACCCUAAAAUGAAUGAAACUUUUUUUAGGAUCUGAGAGUUGUUUUGCUUGUUGUUAAUGAAAGCUGUUCUCUCUGUAUCAGUUUUGGAUACUGUUCAAGUUAAGCCUUAGGUAGUGCUAAAACGGUGCCUAACAGUUCUUCACUAUUUGAGAAGAAAAUGUAAGAAAUAUUUGUAUUAUUGUAUUUCUUGUAAGUAUUUUCUUAGCUUCAGCACUGCUGGAGUUGGAGAUGACAGAUUUGAAAAUGUUAUAUUAAAAACUGUCUGUUUUCUGUGUAUUUGUGCUCCACCGCUUGAAUCAGAGUACAGUUUUGGCCUCGAUGUUGUCCAGUGGUUGCAUUCAUUAUGCGUUGUGGGGGAAAAAAUGUUCUCAAAUUUGUUUUUCAACACUGCUUAUCUGUCUGGGAUUUCUCCAAUCCUUUUAUGAUGUAAUAUCAUGGAUAAUAUUUUCCACUUGUGUUUUUCACAUUGUUUAUGCUUUUAGCUCUCUUUCUUAUCUGUCCAGGGCCGUAAGUUCCCAGUAACUUUUGAUGUAGGAAAGCUGUACCGCAUCUCUGAUCAUUGGUUAUGUUUUCUGUAGUUUUUCUGCCUGAGCAAUAUGCAUACAGUUACAAACAGUAAUCAAGAACUGCUGUGGUACGUCAUAUGUAGUGGUUAUUUCUACUUUGUUUUCCUUUCUAAAAUACCCCAGUUUCUUCCCAUGCCUUUUGGUGAUGUGAAGCUGAUCUAUUUCAGUGAGCAGGUGUUUUCUGGAAGGCUAAAAAAUGUGAAGCUUCCUUAUUGUGAUGAUUCACUUCAGGUUUACCAAUGUGGGUCCAAGCAUGGACCCCUGACUGUUCAGUAUAUCUUCUCUUCUUUUUCUUUCCCCUGCUUACGAUUUGAGAAAGCUUAUUGCUUCUGCUCAUAUCUCGCUUCGUGUUUGUUGAUUGGUUAUAAUUUGCAAGUAAUUUUUUCUCUCUCAUUCUAUGGUUAUUUGGUUUCUUCUAAGAGCAUUUGAUGAGGGAUCUUGCGGAAAGCUCCUCCUGAAGCUCCGUGUGUGUUGUUGGAUGUGGUAUGGUAUAUUGAAUGAUUUUUGGACGCUCAUCGUCUCCUUUUGCAGAUUGUGAGUGCAGAUCUGUGAAAGUCUGAGUGCUUUGCUGCGUAUCUUCUUCCAAAGAAGUGCUGUUCAGCUUUGAACAAGCAAGUAAAACAAGGUGAAUAAUAGAGGGUAUCUCUAAUAAGCAGAGCCAAAAGGCACACCUUGAAGUUGUGGCAAUGGCAUGAGAUAACUCUGAAUGCGUUUUAACCUGUUUGCAUUGUGCUGCCUUCAACCCGAGCUGCGGCACAGUAGAACUGGAAAUAUUUGAAAGACACACGUUCCCUGCCAGUUGCAAGCCAACCACACCCUGCCUUGGGUUUGCUACACGUAUAAAGGUGCAUUCUUAAUAUAGUAUAAACAGUUCCUCAUGGUUACUGCGUAAUAAGCUGGUUUAAUGAAGCCUUUUAAAGGAAUAAAUACUGUAAAACUCAGCUUUACCUAACAGGUUCCUUUGUUUGAACGCUUCCAGCUGCUGAAUAAAAUCUGCAAAUGCAGAGAAGCUGAAGCGUGCAAGAGGAGGAAUGCUCAGAAUAACUCUAGCCUGUUUGCCUGUGGAAGUAUUUCUCUGAGCCUUCUAGAAUACAUUAAAAAGCAAUCUCUGGCUGAGCUCUGGGGUUUUAAAUGCCAACUGGAAUACUUGUGAAGCAGUGCAUGAAUGAAGUUGUUUCUGAUAGCGUCUCCUGUUCUGUCUGCUAAUUCUCGAAUGAUAUGCUGAAAAAUUGCCUGAUAAUCCUAAUGUAAUUAGUGUUUCAAAGAUGGUAAUGUUCUUUGUAAGUUCAUUUUGCCUUUGUAACAGUAAUUGCAAAUACAGUAUGAAGCUCUGUAGUCCUUCUAAGAUAAGUCUGUUCUUCAGUACUCCAUUAAAAAAUGUCACAACUGCAGUAUAAACCAAGCAAAUCCACCAAAGUUUCACAGUGACAUCCGUAAAGAGAAAAUCCUCUUUUCUGACCUGUUCUUGGGCUUGAUUUGUUGGAAUAACAAGGGCAUUUAUUGCUUUUUAAUACCAAAGGUAAUGAUAUUUUUUUGGUCAGUGACUGCGUUGCUUCUUAUCAAAGCACAGUCUUUUAUUUCUGGGUGCUUUUAAAGUUAGAUGAAUUCUUGCUGGAGGAAAAUACACAAGUGUUCUCUCAUGAUGUGCUCCUAAACACAAUUACGGACCAGUAAACAGCAUAAGGACAUAUUUGUAAUACAGUAAUAAUAAGCUGUGGGCUGACAGUAAGGGACUGAAAAUAAUCUGUGAAUUAACUGCUUUAACAUGGAAGCUGCUCGGAGGCAGAAUAGAUUUUUGAAUCAAGGCCCAUUUGCUGUGUUUCAGAGUGCCACCUGCCCUUCUUGUGUAGAGCAGCACUGUGUUCUACUGCUUCUUUCUUGUUGAGGUUGGGGAGGAAGUCCGAGGAGUUUGAUAGGACUAACCUACAUUAAAAAUAAUUAGAACUGUAGUUGUAUAGUGGCUCUUUCCUGAUUUUUAAAAAAACAAAACAACUUGCAUGUAGUGCUUUGUUGUAAUUAGGUUAAUGUAAGUAGCUAAUUACACUUCCAUUACAUUUCUACAGAGUUUUAAAACCAGAGAGGCAGGAUUAUCUUGGUACACUGUGUUACCGCGUGUAAUGAGGUGUAAUAAUAAAACAGUUCGGAUUUUGAAACUGUGUUCAGGGUGAAUUUUUUGUUUGUUUUCUUGGAUAUGAAACUUUGUGAGCUCGUAAGGAAACUUUAGUAAGAUCUUUGCAGAUGAGGAAGGUGUUAAUUGAAUUUGGUAAUAACGAUAAGUUGAAAUCGAGGAUGUCUCAGAUUGGCAGACUUAAUCGGGGAAGUAAACACAACAUGCAUGCAGUGUUGUAAUACUGAGUGAGGUUGAUGCUCACAUGGCAUAUGAUUGUGGCAGUUGAAACUCUAGUUUUAACUUAAGUAAAAUGUGCUCUUGGGACUUUCUUCUGCAAGUUGUGGUUGGUGAUUUGUGAGGUUGAAAUACCAAGUAUUGUAUGUUUAGAGGCUGUCAGGAUCAUUAUUCUCUAGAAUUACAUGUUAAAUUUUAGGGAUAGCUUGUAAGGUUCUGAAAUUGGCAGUUUAGUAAAGCCAAAUGCUGUUUCUUUGUAAAUUUUCGAAGUGGUUCUGUUAUGUAAGAAGAAUAAACAUGUAAAAAUCAUAUGACUCAAAGCCUGCUAAAUAUACAUGACUCUUCUCCAGAGGUAAUCAGAAAGUGCUCUGUUAAAUAUUUGGGAGUCUUAUCUUUAUACUAAAGAUUCCUGACUUAAAGAAAAGCAGUGUAGUAUUCUCAGAUAUCUUUUAAUUUCUGGAAAGGUUCCAUUAUCAGGUAGAUUUAAAAGGGAAACUUUGUUAACCAUGAACUGUAGAAUGGUGAUACUGAAGAUUAUUUCUGUUACCUGAAGUUGGUAACAAACCAGGUUGAGAUCAGUACUGGCAAUGGGAAUUCUGAUUUUCCUUUUAUUUCUAUUUUCAGAUUUUGCUUUUCUAGGAUUGGUGAAUUUAUUUCAAACUUGAGAAUGGCUACAAGUGACAGCUUCACCAAAAAUUUGUUGUUUCUGAAGGGAAAUUUUCAAGCAUCUUUUGAGCUUGUAUGUGAACAGCUGAAUGAGUUGGUGCAGUGAUUUAUAUUUACAGUUGUACAUUGAGUUUGGUUAACAUCUUAUAUCUUGCUUUAUUGUUGCAAAAUUGAGUUUUCACAGCCUUUUUUCUCUAAUGUAAUGCAGAAGCAGAAUGCUGAAUUGCAAAAAAAGAAUGCUGUGAUAGCACCUGUGCAUAAUAUAAGGGUGGUCUCAUUAAGCUAUGGGGGGGAGGGAGAGGGUGGAAAACCCAACAGAAUGGAUUGCACCUUUUGUACAGUUUACAUGUACAAGACUCAUCCAGAUCAUUUAUAUGUCUUGUAAAGCUCCAUUCUUCCUUUCCAGAGGCUGAUAGCCUGCCUCUUAGCAAUUCCCAUUGCACUGUAAAAUUUCUGUUUAUGAUGCAAAAAAACCCUCAUCCCUGUUUUCUGAUAAUAAUGGAACUAAAACUGAUCUCUUACCACCUUUUCAGUCCUCUUGUUGCUACAGCAGGAUUUGUGGAAGAAGUUCUUAAGUUCACAAAGGGUGCUGUGUGUAUACUGAGCAGUAGAUGAGUGUGUUUGCUGGAAAGGAAAACUUUUACAUGGGUACCAUUGGACUGCCUUCAUUAGCCUUUGGGGCCAAAUAUGGUCCCAGAGUUCUCCCAAGAGUGUUAGGGAGACUGAGCAGCACGUGUUGCUACUCCUUUUCCUGCUGAGGGGCUAAUGCCAUGAGACUGAGUAAACAGGAGCUGCUCAGGAUGGCUCAGUUCACUGCUGUGCUAAGCACAGGCCAAGUAACAGGAUGGGUGGGAGAUGUUCUGGGAUUGAUUGGCAUAAAUGCAUGCUAUUCUGUGACCUGACGUGGAUCUCCUCAAUCUGGAGCUGCUGCUGAACUGUAAUGGGCUCUCACCUUCCGUUUUAGUGUGAUGAACAGCUUGUGAUGGCCAUGAGUAAGUGCUUGGAGCUUUUAUUUUUUGCCUUUGCUUUCAGCUGCCCACCUUCUCUCUGCAGGGAAGCACAUGGGUGGGACACAGCCCUGUAGCUUGCCGGAGAAUUUUUUAAUUUUGGUGUGUUGAGUAGGUGUAGAUCUUCUGGAACUGAAGAGCUUAAUUCACAUCCUUGUGGUAAGUUCCAGAUUUCAGGGAGUCAGCUUUUCAGGAAGCAGAGGAUCAGAGAUGCUGUGGUGUCUCUGCGGUACUUUGGUUUGUAUGACUGACCCCUGCUCUGCUCCUACCAGAACUGUGUUACUCUGCAGACGAUGAGCUGAGCUGAUAUACCUUGAAACAGUAGCUGUGUGUUUAUAAGGGAAAUAGGUAAAAAAUUAAAGCUCGGACUUCUGCUGCUGUUCUGUUUUCCAGUUCUUUAUGAACAAAUCUCUCUGCCCAAGAAACAAUUCCUCAUCUGUUUCCAAUGUCAAAGGAUAGACAACGAGCUCUGAAAGCAGUAUUUACUUGUAGGAAUGUGAGACAAAUAUCUUGGACUGGAAUUUUCAAUCUACUUCUGCAUAUAUUGUCCAUGAAUGGUCUUCGUAUCUUCUCUACUCCUUUGUGGGUUUUUCCAGUUAAAACUGGAAAAAGUGUGAGGCCGUACGUGCACUGUAAAUUUGUUGAGUUAGAAGACCUCUGAAGGCUUUGCUUACUCAUCAAAUGAAACGAAUUUCCAGAUGAUGGGUUCUGAUGCUUGCAGACAUUUUCAGUCUUAGGCUUCACUUUGGGGCAGUAUUUCCCUGGCGUCAGUCACUGCGCAGCACAGAGCUGCCUUGUAAGGAGCACUGAUGGCUUUGGAGGCUGCCAAAAAGUGUAUGUGGGCUGGCGGCAUGGAUGCCUGCGUUUGGGUGGGAUUUUUGAUGCCAGAAUUUAGCCACAAAAAGUGGAGGGGAAACAACAACACGGAGCCUGUUAUUUAGCACUAAAAAAAUAAGUAGUAAUAAGUACAUUAGUGUCUCAGUAUAGCGAUGCUGAAAUAUUGUAAAAAGCAAGAGAUUGCAUGAUAUUGCUUGCCAUUUAGACACCUCAGCCUUUUUCAAAACACUUUGGACAAACAAGGUCACUCUCACAUUUCGGGGAAAAAAAUGUGUAGAAUAAGGAGGGAAAUUUGGAUGUGAAUAUUGUCCGGUGAGUUGACGCAAAGUAUUUUGGCUGUUAUCUUUAAGUGGAAUCUUGAAGUUACCAGGUGCUUUACAGUUCCACGCCUGAACUACUGCCUCCAGAGAGAGUAAUACCCAAAUUCUUUUGUUCUUCACCCAGAGUUCUGUGGUAGUUGUGCAGAGCGCUCACAGUUUGUGAGCACGAGAGGUGGAGUGAAGGGCGAAUUGCCCAAGUUGCUGUACUAAUGCUAUAGGAUUUGUAGGAUCUGAGACUGUAAUGUUUUUAUUAAAUAAUUUAUUUCCUAGCACAUAGCUUUCUACUACAAAUCCUCGUUUCCCAAGUGAAAGUGCAUUAUUCUGAAACCAUGAUCACAAAAAUAAUUUAGCUAAAAUUUGGCAGCACGUCCUAAAGUGAAGCUGUAAAACCUGUAUUGAAAAUGAAAUUUCAGUCUCUGUGGAAGGUUAUGGAGCCAGUACAUUCCAGCCCUUCCUCAAAUGCACAUAGUGUUCAGCAGACAGCUGAGGCAGUGCUUGCAGUUCAGUGGAUGCCCUGUGUAGUUUAGCUGGGGUUUCAGCCAGAGAUAAAAGUGGAUCCCAUUGAUGAGGGGAGGCUGCAUGGUGGAUGCAACCCAACACUGUACUGCUGCUGCGUGGCGGCUUGCUGCUGAAUUACUCUGCAUGCCUUCUUGGCAAUGCUAUUAAAAGAUUCUCUUCCUAGACAGAGAAACACAUCAGCUGAAGGAUCUGCACAGACAUUUUCUUUGACUUCAUAGUUUUUUGGGUUUUUUUGUGCUUUUCAGCCAAACAGCACAGUGAUUCACCUUGGGCACUUGCUGUGUACUAGCGUGGACACAGCAGGAUUGAGAUCACAUGGCUAAAAGACAGUAUCUUUUGGCAACACAUGCAGCAUUAGAUGGUCCUAAUGAAAUGAAACUUCAGUAUUUUACUGCUUAUGGUAUAAGAGAAUGUCACUUUUGAGUAUCUCAAAGAAUAUUUAAUAUGGCUAAGUGAGAAUCAAGCCUAAUUAAAUUAAAUUAUUCUGAAAUCUUUGUAGAAAAGCUUCUAAACUGUAAAUAACUCCCUUCCUUCCUUCCCUUUUCUCCUUAAAAAAAAAAUUACACUAUUAUCUGCAGUUUAGUUGCAUUAACUUCCAUUCUGUGCCUGAUCAUUAUUUUCAGAAAGCAGAGAACUAUGAUAAAUUGAUGUAUUUUUCAUAAUGUAAUAAAAUUAUAAGCUACAAAAGCAUGUAUUGGCUGGUCAGGCUUGUGCAGUUAAAGUAAAAAGUAAAAGAUUUGGUUCUCAUUCUGCAGUACUGACAAAUACAGCAUAUCAGCACAAAAGUGAUCUAUGAUUCAUUCUGUAUUUGAGUGAAUUUCUUCGCGAAUUGCAUGAAAGAGUUGCAUCAGUAUCUUAUCUCUUUCAAGAGGCAGUCAGCUUUUUCUACAUAUUGAAUUCUUUAUUGUCUUUAUAUUCCUGCAUGGUAUUUUGUUUUCCUUGUUUUAACUCCAUAAAAGAUGACCGUGUUAUGCAUUCACUAAAUGCCAAACAUUGCUUUUUACAAAAUGCACUGUGUAACUUGUUUGUUCCUGAGCUUCCUUAUGGAAAGGAUGUCCUGUGUUUGUUUACGUUCGUAGAUUGCUGUACUGUCUCGUAACUUUUGUGAAUGCCAUUGCAUUUUAUAUGCUUACGCAUGUACAGCACGUAAGCCAUUUGAUGGUCAGUGAGUUAUCAGACUGCUCCUUAUAGAGAUGGCAUGAGAUGAGAACAGGACUAAAACUAGAAGCAGGUGUGAAGUAAAGUUAGCAAAUACUCCAAAACAAGUAACAUAUCCAAUUGGCAGGGUGUUCUGAGGGGGUAGGUGGUGUCUGCAGGGAGAAGGACGUGCAUAGGGCAGUUGAGAAGCUGCAAGCGUGUGUGCGGGGCUCAGGGAGGUGCAGGGGGUUACAGCAGCAAUGGCUGAGCAGCCUCCUGCCUUCCUGCUCGUACUUCAAAACAAAGAAGUUGGAUGAUCAGACUCUUCAGUGGAGUUUCUUUUAGGUACUUGAGAGUUCUCAUUUGGAAAAACAGAGUGAAAGACUGCCCAGGUUUUAUGGCAGGUCUCUGUCCUGAGCCUGAAAGUGAGUGGUUAAUGUGAAAUCUCGUGAUCCUGUGUUGGGAGAAGAGUAAAGCAUGAGUGCUGGGAAAGGGCUACCGAAGUAACUUAUGUGCAAGUUGAGUUUCUGCUCAUAUGAAGCGGACAUAUGCAGAAAGAUGUUAGUACGUGUUCAUAGAAAUGAUGAUUAAUUAUGAGUAAGUAGUUUCACUUAUUUUUUUUUUCCUCUUUUUCCAGAACUGCAUUUCUCAAGCUGCUGAAGUUUGUUUGCCCAGCCCUUUGUAUAACUGAAUCCUGUAGUUGAUGCAGAAUUGCACACUAUCAGGCUGUGAAAUAGAAAAGGCAGGGAUGGUUUCUAGAUAAAUAUGAUAAAAAUAAUUUUCCAGAGUGUGGACAUAAGUGCUACUGUAAAGAUCCUGCAGAUGCUCAUGAUUCCUUUAUUGAACGUGAUGUAUUCUAUCCUGUUUGCAAAAGCACCAACAGUGAAAUGUGCUCCAACCGUGGCUUUGCAUGCACUGUUGCUUUAGGAAUUCAGUUUUGUUUCACUUCAGGAAGUAGAGCUGUAGCCUGUUACACCUCAGCAAAGACUAAAGUGACUUUUUGAUGGCGUGUGGCAGAUGAGGCUAUGUCCAGGGUGAUCUGCCCUAUCUAUGCACACUAGUAAGGAGCAGUAAGGUACAAAAUCAAUAUACAGUGCUUAAGCUUGUUCUGAGAUGCUCUUGUUCAUGAACUUUCCUUGUUUCCUUGGGUACUUCUCAUGUUCUAGCCACACUUCGAUGGACUGUGAAAUAUUUUUAAGCUCUCAGUAGAUAUACUGCAUCUUCAGCUGCAGUGCUAACAUUUAAUAGCUCAGGCUUGGAGAAUGGUAUAACGAAUGUUGUAAUGUUUAUUAUGUUUUUGAAGUUUUAUUAAUGUGCUCACCCUCUUUGUCAGGUCACCAUAAAUAAAAGGGUGUUGCCUUUUAAUUUUAAGUUUAAUAUCUGGUAAAUUACUGCUAGGUAUGUGGUUGUUCUUAAAGUAUAAAACAUUACAAAAUGGUGAAAAGGAGAGUUUGUCUAUAGAAAGCUUUAUUAGAGGCUACUUUCUGCCUCUCCUGAGAAAUUUUUAUGGAGAUGGAAGGGAUGAUGUGAAGUGGUUUACAGUGCUGGUUACUUUCAUUAGUUCUGUGCUGCAGUUUUUUCACCUUAGGUGUUUGUGCAGGUGAGAAGUAUGUCUGUACCUGCUGAUGCAUACCGUUGCGGUAUUUCUCAGACCCUCAGACAAAAGCAGGCAGACCAAAGGUGUCACUGGAUGUGGCCCUCCGCUUAUCCUGCUGCCAGGCAGCUUCCCCUCCCCAUCUUCACAGUUUUAGCUGCAAAGGGGAGUGUGAGUGCUCUGUAUCUAAGGAGCUGGCUUAGCUCCUGUCUGGCUGAUUUUUGCCCUGAGAAAGUUCAGUCUCACUUGUGAGAUCCUUGGUUGUGAGGGAGUGCUUUGGGAACUAAGCAUGUUCAAAACCCGUCUUGCCUGAGCUCUGAAUUUGUAAGGCAAGAUUUGGUUUGUUUUUUCUCUCUUUUUCUGCCUCAAAUAGGCUCUCCUUUAAGUUCCUCCUCCAGCUCUGUAGGACACAAAAGCAACAAGGGUCAGAUAAUCUCGCUGUGUGCAGAGGUGGCAACAGCUCUUCUUGGGAAAGCUGCGAAGUGCUCAGUUUUCAAGACUUUUUUCAAGAGACUUUUGUCUCCUGCUGUUUUCACGUUCAGGAAUGGAUUUGAUACUUAGAGUUAUUCAUUUUAUGUAGAGUUAAUUGAUAAAUAUUCAUCAGAGUAUUGCUGAAUUGAAUACCGCACGGCUUUAUAUUUUUAGAGGCACAUUUUCAUUCCUUCAUGCUUUCAGGAAAGGGAAGGACAAUGAAGUCUUCUCUUUAAAAUGAAGUUAAUAUCCCUUUCAGCACUUAGAGCUCCUACAAAUCUUGUGUGUUCCUGGACUCAAGAGCUUGUUUUAGCUGGACUGCUUUUUAGCACCGCUCUCCACAUGUAAUUAAAGCGCUUUGUGUGUUGUGCUUUGGUCCUAGUACAAAGAAAGCCCUGCAGCUUGUUCUAAGAGCAGCUUUUCCGCAGCCAGAUUGGUCUUUUAAACAAAGUGGUGUAACUGCACCUAACGCUGUGUUUGCGUAGUAAAUGUUUGUAGAGCUCUAAGGGAGACCAGGAGCAUCUAGGUGAGUGCACUGCGCUGCCGCACUGGGGUUCUACUGAAGACAGGAGCACUGUCUGGAUCAGGUCCCUCUCUGCAGACUCCUUUGUUUGCAGAGAUGGAAGCGACUGUUUCUUUUAUAAGGCCUAACUAGAUGUUUGUGAAAAGCUUUGAGACGCUUUUGAUUAACGACUAUGCAGUAUGUGAUUAUAUCACACAUAAUAAUAGUGGGUAGGAGGAGACAGAAUGGCAGCGUAAUUCUUGCAGCAUUGUGAAAACUUCAGGCUUUGUUCUUCUUCAAACACUGUCUUUACAUUUAAACGCGAUUUUUCUCUGCCGCUUCCCCUAGUCUUUAUCUCCUCCAACUAAAAAAAAAUACCAAAAAACCAAAAAAGAAGCAUUUCUCUACCUUUAUUUAAAAAUUAAAAAAAAAAAAAAGAAAGAAAGAAAAAGGAAGAAGAGGGAGUGAGGGAAGAAAAAGUGCCGGACAUGUAUCUGCUGUUUUGGCUAGCAUAGUUGUAUGAUACUUGAAUGAUCGGUGCUGUUCUGCUUUUACCAAAAUCGGAGCCACGCUCUUCUCCUCUAAGUUUGAGAUUGAGUGGGUGACGGUUUUGAACCUCAGAAACUGAUUUUCCCCGUUUUUCUUUUCUUCAUUUUGCAUGGUAACCUCUUGGCUGGAAAUUUAUAGUCAGGAGGUUGCUGUAGCCUGUAAUGUGAGCUCAGGUUUUUGUGACAGGAACGUUUGUUCCAGGGGGCUCCUUUUACAGCUGGGCGGGGGUUUGGGUGGAGUUGUGCUGUGGCAGAAGGGCCGCUUGGGAGCCUGGCAGCUUCUUGUGCAGGGAUGCGGUUAGUUAAGUGUUGUCCAUAUUUGAGAUUCUUCUGGAUGUCCAGCAGUGCUUUCCAGACCAGUGGUGUUUUCUCCUGCAUCUUCAUUUAGUGGUGCUCCGCAGGGCUUGCACGCUUGUUUCUAUGAGGGCAGGCAGGUGGGCCUGUGCACACUCCAGUUUUGUUGCUUCUGUUCUCCCCAGUAUAACUUUUAUUGCCAAUCAUUUGAUUUAUAAACCAGGAUCCCAGGAGGCACAAAUAGCAUGCUGGUAGCCCAAGCCAGUGGAAAGUUUAAAAACAAAAACAAAAAAACAACUAAGAUACAGUGUAGCAAUGCAUUCCUAGGCAAGAGGCCUGUCAGAGAAAUCCCUCAUGGUUUGCCAGCAGGAUGGAGAUGGCCAACAAGCAUUUAACAUGCGUGCUCAUGUUGUUUCAUGUUGUUUCAUGUUCUUUGUUAGUUGUAACGCUGGAAUAACAACUGGGGACGCUCAUUUCUGUGGGCGCUCACCUGUGUGAGGUUGGUGACCAGCAGUAGGCUUCCAUCUCUGGUGGUUCCAUCGCCAGUGCAGUUUGAGAGGGAGAACAGGUUGCUUUGGUAGAAACACCAGCUUAUUCCCCAGAGGUCUUGUACUUAUGGUCUUCCUGAAUUCUGACUUGGUGCCACCAAACAAUAAAUCCUUGCUUCCACUAAAAAUUUGUUUUUGGGAAACACAGUGUGUGAAAGCUGAUAGCACUGCUAGUGGGCAAUAUUACCGAUAUUACUUACUAGUGGGUGAAGAAAUUAAGCAGAUUAAGCAGAUCAACCUCUUUUAGAAAUGAACGUAACCACCCCCAAUGUUUUCCUGAAUACAUGCAAAUAUGCUUUGUCUUGAAGUGAAAUGCCUUCUGGUAUUGUCACUGAUGAGGCACACUAUCACAGACAGGUUGGCAGAGGGAAUUUGGGUAAGAGCUCACACCCUGUAUUCUAUAGAUGUGUUGUGGAAGACAGUAGACAGUUGUAGAUUGUAUUUUGGCUACAUGAUUUGUUUUUAAAAAAAUAUCUAAAUUAUAAGAUUGAUAUUAUAUGCCUAUAUGGAAAUAGAUUUUGUUUCAGGCCUUUUAGGUUUGCCCACACUUGCUCUUUAGACUGUUAAUCAGACUCAGAGUUGCUUAUAAGUUAAUCAUGCAAAAAAAGUUAAACUAGUAGCAAUACCAGUAUACUUCUUUCAGAGGAUACAACUCCAUUUUAUGUAUCUGGCAGUGCUUCUGUGGAGUUUUGUACUGUGAAAAAUAAGACAACUUUCCACUUGUAUGAUGUGUAUAAAUUCAAAAACAUAGAAUGUGGAAUAAAUAUUUCACUUAGUAUGGAGAAUUGGAGUGGGAAAACAAGAAUUCUCAAGUAACUGCAGAAAAUAAGUGGCAAAUAUCACAAAGGAGUGGAGAGUAAGAUGAAAGGGGAGGUGAGCCAGAAAUGUAAAGGUAUGGCAUGAACUGCUCUGAAGGGAGCUCAGUGUUCACAAUCGUGUUCUUUUGGAUUGUGACAACGUGGCAGCUGCAGCAGUUUUUGCUGUUGAAUGAGCUCCAAGCCUUCCUUAAAACCUGUCCAUUUUUGCAAGCAAUAGGGCUCUGAGACCUGCUGUUCCUGCUGUGCUAUCCUUCUUAUUGCUAGCAUGUUUAACAGAUUGAGAAAGGGUUGUACGCUUCUUUGAAAUGUAGGUGAACAAAGAUUCCAGGGUAGGUUCACAUUUUAACUCAUAUAAAAUUUAUUCUUCGUUGCAGUAGAACAUUGACUGCUUUUUCUUAACAGUCAAUACUUGCAGCUGUAAUGAGCUCGGUCUUUGUGUGGGAGAAUAGAAAAGCAGGGAAUGCUCUGUUGUGAAAAUAUACAGGGUUUUCUAUAGUAAGGAAAUUUUGGUCAGUGGCGGGGCAAUGUUUAUAGUAAUUACAGCAAAUGAAAGACACCCAUUUCUGAUGAAAGAUUUGGCGGAUGUGUUGGAAUUGUUGUAUGCAGAGACCGAUGGUAAUUACCAACUCAUGUUUCAAGUCAUUGUACAAUGCUGGUGAUGCCAAAGUUUAGAGGCUGGUGGCCAAGGGAUGAUUAGAAGUUUAUCACCAACCAUUUUAGUGGGUUGGUUUUCUACUUUUUUCCAGACUCCUCUUUUUUUUUUUUUUUUUUAACUAUGACAAUAUUAAAUUCUUUGAAAUUGAAACACUUAAUCUGAUCAUUUACAUUGUAAGCUUUGGCUUCUUUCCCCCAUGCUCUUUCUUUCCUUGUAUGCCGUACCUUAAGUAUUGAGUUUCAUUAAUAAGCAGUCAUUCUUGCUCAAAUCUAGCUGAUGUUAAUCUGUGCUAAAAACAAGUAUCAAUUAAUUUCUAAUGGUAUAACUUCAUGUUAAGCAGCAAUAUGGAGAAUACAGUAUCACAUGAAAAUCGCUCACAGACUUACCAACCUUAAGGUAGAUGCAACUUUGUAAUGUUUGUCCUUUUCACCUUCAUGACAUUCGGCAUAAGUAAUGUAUUUGAUACAGUGGCAGGAGAAAACGUGCUCUAUGUGAAUCAGUUGCUGAUAAACACACCAGGCUACAGCUCGGUCACCAGUGAUGUGUUGGGGCAACAUCUUAGCAAACUCGCUUUUAGAAAUGAAUUGUUUGCUACAAGCAAACAAAGAAGGAUCAAUUUCUUUUCUCCCGAGAAACCUUGGUGGCAGUGGUGUGGUCUUAGACAGCCAUUUUUCUUUUUGCUGUUAGAAAACUUCUCUGGCCCACUUGGAAAAUUUAUUAUUUUAAGAUACCGCCUGUAAUCUUUCUCUCUGUUAUGAAAUUGAAAGGUAAUGCUAGUAUUCUCAUCUUUCUAAAAAUAUAUAUAUAUUUUUAAACUCAGACUCCCGAGUGCUAUUCUGUUGAAGCGUGUGUCAAAACAAGAGCCUGUGAUGUAAUGGAGACUUGGAAACGCUGCAGUUGUGCACUUUGAAAGUAAGUCAAAAACUUUCCAGUUUUGAAGAUGACCCACUGGAAAAAAAAUAGAGAGUUUGGCUUGUGCAGUUUCAACUUUCUGCUUUGAAAGCCACUGCUGCUUGCUUUUUCAUAAAGUUUGUGGUGGUUCUUUUUUGAUCUUACGUGUAUCAGCAUUGCAUCUGUUGGUUCCCUUUUUAUUUGUGGAUUUUGCAGGGAUAACCUGUAAGAGAUACCAGAGAGACUGUUAGCUAUGUUUCCUGUAUACUUCCUAUUUCCUGGGAAAAAGAUAUGAGUUUUUUAGUACUAGAAAGCAACGAAUUCAUAUGAAAGUAUUUUAAGAGCCUUGUAUAAUUACUUCUCCAAUACUUCAUCUUCCUUCGUUCAUCCAUUCUCAGCUCUAGGAUAGAUCUGACUGCACUGCACAGGUCAGCUAAACCAAUUAGAAAGGUAACCCAGAAAGAGGCAGGCUGGAGGGGAAAUAAGCUUAUGGCUUGUGUGAACUGCAUGGCUUGAAUUAAUCUAACUUCAUUUGUUUAGGAGGAGUUAAUGAGAUUUAGCUGAUUAAAUUUCAUUCAAUUUGGUUUUUGAAUGUCUUCUGCAGGAGAGGAGUAUGGCAAGAGUUAGUGCUGAAGCCACUGCAGGGGGAGAGAACUGCGCUGUAUCAUUACAAGUGUUUGAAAACUUAAGAGUGUAGUGUGACCCUUAUUUGCAUCACUUAUGAUCUGAUACCACAAAUAUCUGAAUAUUGCUAAAUCUUGUUGCUUUGUUCAUAUAUAUGUACACAAUAAAUUCAUGUUCGUAUAUAUAUAUAUUAGUAUAAUUUUGAGGAAAUGCCACCAGCCUUAAUGGCCCCAUCACGAGAAGAGUGUUUUGCAGGGCUCUGGAACUGGGUGUGAAAACUGCACUGCAGCAGUAUAACUAUUAGACCAUUCUCAUAGUUACUCUGCCCGCUGUUUCAUGUGCUAUCAUUUGGCCAAAUGGCUGCUGUCUGUACAUUAUUUUGCAUCUUAUUUGCUGGGCAGUAGAGCCUUACAGAGGUUGUGUGUGUGUGAGAUUGUGGUGGGGAAGUCUCUGUAGAAGGGAAAUGUGUCCUUAAAAGUUCAAAGAAUAUCUUUUUGCAAGUGUAAGCUAAUCUCUGAUUUUCCCAGAGGGUAUCGUGGCUUUCUCUGGAGUAAGUGGAAUUAGCCAACAGUGUUUAUGGGGGUAAGCCCAAAAUGAUGAGUUAAAUGGUUCUUUUUAAAGGUUAUUUUCUGAUGGUUAUCUUAAGGUGUUGAACGACGUAGGUUUUCUUUUUCUUUUUUUUUCUUCCUACUUCUGUCAAAAUUUGUAUAUAAACAGUAACAGUAUGGAGUAAAAAGCCUGAAAGAUAAAUAGGACAGCUGCUACUUAUAGCAGAGGGGAAAAUGUGCUUUAUAAUUCUUGCAUAAAAAUUGGUUCUCUGGGAUUUUUCACUAAUUAAUAUUGUAAAGUAAUGUUGCCCUUGGGAUAAUUUUAGGAGGUUGUAAAUACUCAGAAUAUUUGACUUAAAUGUGUGUUUUUCAUGUGUUUGCAGAACUAAUUCUUUAAUGUUCUCCUGACAGUUAAUCAUCUUGAAUGGUGGUCAUAAUCAGUAUUUUGCUUUUUAGAGCUACUCUGCUGCACCCUUAUUUCUGGGGAAAAAGUAAAAGUAGUCGGAAUGAUAGAACUGAACUGAGAAGACCUUGCUAAGAAAUUGUAUGGUGGUUUCUGGGAAACGAUCUCUGUUUUUUACCUUUCUAAGGAGAAAAAAAAAGGUCCUAAUUAGAUGAAUGUUGAAAGAACAGCUUCCUUUUUUUUUUUUCCUUGGAAAAAGGUUCAAAUUUUGAAUACUGUAACAGAGACUAAUUAGAAGAUCUGUUGUAACCCACUGGUGGUAAGAAAUUUGCAUAUACAAAAAAAUGUAGUGACAUCUGUGUUACUGGGAAGUUUAAAAGGAGUUUGACACUUGAGUGUGAUGCUUCUCAACCAAGCAGAAGCAUGUAAGCUUUUAAAUUAUUUUCCCCUUCUUUUUUACUUUAUAUAUGUAGAAACAAGUGCUGUCACAUUUAGGGAAUUGUUAGGUGGACUUAAUGUAUUGUAGUCCUGCUGGACGUGUUCUAUUUUGGGGAAAUGUUAGCUUUUGAAGAAGUUCACCUUCAGGUAGCAUUGGGUUGUGCAUGGUGUUUGGCCUCAUGACGGUCCUGGGCUGAUCUUUCUCCCUCUGCCAAUUAACUUAAGGUGUCAUCAGGAGGCAUUAAUGACUUCAGUGUUAACAGCAGUAUUUGUAAUUGUUUAGCCAGGGGGUGCCCUUAAAGGGAAGGAGAGGAUGGCAGGACAUAGAGAUGUCAGGACAUCUGCAACGUGGCCCAUGCGGAUGGCCGUGCUUGAGAGUCAGGUCACAGUGCUGCGAGGGAGACCUCAGAGAUGCUGUGAUAUACCUUGGCUAACUUUCUUGUAAUAGUCUACUCCUGUUGUCAUUUAAAAACAGGUUUGGUUUGGCUUUUCCCAUCGUCAGUCAAAGAUGGGUGUUAAUAACUUGACUGCAUUUCUGGUUGGUUUUGGAGGGUCUUAAGAGCGGAAGUAUGCAAGUGUAGUUGUUGGUACAGCUUUCUUUCACUGGUGGGAAUGGUCAUUUUUAAGUCACUUCCAGACAUUGCUUUUGUCUGCCUGCAAUACCUUGCCUAAGACCAAAUCUUUUCUAGCUCAGGUGCAUGCAAGUAGGAAGGUAAGGGGUCUAGCUGGGGCUGCAGCCACUUGAACCAGCUGGAACGUGGAGAAUUGCACACUGCAUACUGAAAGACAACUUGACACAGUUCUUGAAGAUCAGAGAGAAACAAGCAAUCCAAACAGGGCAUUGCACAACAGAAAAUGUGCAUCCUUAACUAUAUGACAUCUUUCCCUCAGGCUGAGACAACGCAGUUUCAAUGUUAAUGGCCGAAUGCUCACAGUACAACAAGUAGUUUAGGUAAUUAUCUCAGGGGCUGUCUUUGUUUUUGCUGCACCUAAUGAAGUAGGCUAUGUUUGUGGUUUAAUUUGUUAUGCACUAUGGUAAUAGAAAUAUUUAAGUGCUUAAUUCUUACUAUAUAUACUUGAAAAUCACAAUCAAGGGAAAUUUUUAUGUCCUUUGAGGAAUGUUUUCAUGCUCUUGUUCCUGAAAUCUAAGUACUGUUUUGCAAUAAAAUUAAACACUCCAUGCUACACCCUGUAUUUCAUGUAGCUUGUGUUCCCAAGUGUGUGACGUUUGUAGUCAGUAACUGUUCUGUUACUAUCCAGAUAUAACUGAUUGUUUUUGAAGUUUGCAUGGUAUGCAAUGUCAAAGCAUUAAUUUAUCACCUAACUGUCUGAAGACAAACUGCCUUUUAGUCAGGUGGCAAAAAUCUCCAUGGGAUUUUGUAACUGACUUGGAGAGCGAGUCGUGAUGUCCUGUAGUAGUGCGUGCCCACAUUCUCCCUUCAAGAAUUUACCAGUGUGAUUAUAUAAUGAAUUUCUUGGGUUUCAUUGGUCCACUGAGGGAGAUUUAGGCACUUCAUUGUGACUGGAUGGAUCUGAAUAAUGGACAAGCCUCUCUUGCAGAGGGACCUGCAAGCUAAGCUGCUCAAAGCUGAAAGCAAAUCUUUCCUCUUCUUUCUGAACUGACAUCUGAAAGAAAUGAGAUUAGCUGAAACUUCAGCCCUGUUUCACGGAUUUUAAAAAUAGAAUGAAUGAAGGAAAUCCCUCCUUGAACCAGAGCUACAUAAAGAGAUUCUUCACAAGUAACACAUUAUCCUUGCUCUUUCAAUUCUCUGCAUUUGUGGUCAAUGUGAAGGUGGAAAUGCUGAAUGGAAUGGCUGUUUAAUGCAUUUUUCUCUCAUACCUAUGGAAACAAGAAUUUAGAUAGUGAAAUUAAUUUAUCUUUCUUCAUAUAAGAUAUCCACUGGUUUCACUAAUUCAUUUGAAGUAGGAAACUAGCAGUAUAAAUGUUUAAAAGGAGAACUGGCCUUAUUAAUUCAGUGCUCAGAGGAAUCAAUAUCACACUUUUUAAGGCAUAUUAUAAACUUUUUCCUGUGAGCCUUCACCACAAGUACUUUUAAAUAAAUAUGUGCCCAUCUUUCAGGCUGCAAUUGUCAUGCCAUGGAAGGUGAGAGAGGUAGUAAUCGCACAUUGCCAACUGAUGAUACAUGAAAUGGAAGGUGAAACAGUGCAGCUCCUGUUAGCUGAAAGCAUCAAUUAUGCUAUGAAUGUGUGCUUUAGGUUGGCUGUGUCAUUCUCUGGCUGUUCAGGAGGACCCCUGGUACAAUAUUCUUCUGUUUUCUAAAGAGCUGAGAUCUCCAGGCUAUCUGUUGUGGAGAGACACUAGAAAUAAAAAAGAUAUUCCAUGAGCUAAUGUGAUGGGAAUCACAGCUGGGGAACAUUACUUUUUAGAUUAUCUGCAAAAUCCCCCGUGUACCUUCUCACUUCUGAAAUGAUUGUUCUUUCGAGGCCUUUAUUAUGUCAAUCUUGACUCACUUCUAAUCUUCCCUUCCCACUUAGAGAAAUAGCAUUAUAGUUAUCCUCUUAGGAUCCUCGGAGUUGAUAUUGUUCAAAAUAUCAUGUGGCUUCUUUGAUGCUCCCUUUUUAGAGGUCAAGAUAAUUCUGCCUCCUUUAAAACCCUUACAGAACUGUCUCUGGGUGUGUGCUGUUCUAGUGUAUGCAGCUUUGAUUCUGAUUAUACGAGGGGAAAAGGGAAAGAGAUUUGUAUAUAUGAAUAUGUAUUUCAUAUAUUCAGAGAUAUAUUGAUAUAUACUUAGGAUAUAUUUGAAUGUGCGUAUGAAAUCGAAGCUUCCCAUAAAGCAUGCAUCUACUGAGAUAGAGAGGAGUUUUGUUGGUAUAGGUUUCAUUCAUGCAAUGAUUGUUAGGAAGAGUAGGUAUUUCUUGGUAUAAAAGAAAGCCCAGGUACUUAUAACUAUAAAACUUUACGUGAUGAUACAGUUUUUGUACAGCACCACAUGGACCUUCUCAAUAGCAUUACAUUAGAAUUAAAAUUUUAAUUGUUUGGAAGAAACUUAGGCAAGCUGGAGCGUGGACACUGCUUCUUCCUGUUGGUAGGAGUAGGAAAACAAACCAGUCAGCUCUCCUCUCCUGCUCUAAGGCUGUUAGAGGUGUGGCAGCAGCUACACUGAUCCAACCAAAGAGGAAGUACUGACAAAAAAAAUCUUUUCCUUCAAGGAUGACCUGACCCCAUGGAUUUGCAGUUGAAAUGCAACUUUGUAUAGUGGAAAGCUGAAGCGUAUGUUCAUAGUAAAUGCGACACCUCACAACAGAGACAGGUUUAUUCAUAGCUGCGUCUUGAAAUAGCGUUAGGUUUGACAUUCAAGGAAAGUACACACAUUUAGCAUACAACUUAAGUACAUGGUUAUAUUUCCGUAAUUGCUUUGUUCUCCUUUUUUUGCGUGUUACAGAAUACAUGCUUCACUGAUAAAAAAUAAUAAUGGAGAAAUUAAAUUAGAAACGGUUGCUUUUCUAAUUAGCUAUGAUAAAAAUCAAUACUUGACCAUGAAAGUGAGAAAUCUUGGAUCUUGAUUUCCUUCUUAUCUAUCUCUUGUCCAGUGGUUUGUGUUAAUUAAAUCAGAGCUAGCUCUGCCCUGGCCUCUAUGUAUACUGCUCCUGUCUAAUGAAGAAAAUAUCUGUUAGUAAUGCAGUAAGCGUAAACUAGGAAAGUCCAUUGUGAAUACUUUGAUAAGAGUAGUAGCUAAUUAUUGUGGUGAUAAACUUAGGCUACUACAAUCAAUAGUCGUAACUUUUGAUGUGUUUUUAAAAUGUGGACUGGCAAUCUGUUGGACAAAUUGUAGUUAUGUGAGGGUUUACUGCUAGUCUGGCUAAUACAGAGAAAGAUGUGGCUUGUUGGAAAUAUAUUUCUGUCAGAUGGACUUUGUCCCCUAUGUUAAGUGAUUUGAAGGGACCACUAGAGGUCGUGUGCUUCAGUGCCACACUUAAAGCUGGAAGAACUUUGAAGUUAGUCAAGGCUGCCUGGGACCUUUUCUAGAUGAGUGUCAGGCUGUUUCUGGAGAAGUUCCUACAGGCUCUCCAGGCAGCCUGUGGCAGUGUGCGCUAGGUGUUUCUGUGCUGCUCAGGGAACAAGCUGCUCAGUUUUCUUUUUGGCACUUGGUUUCUGUUUGGGUAACGAAGGCUUCUGAAUUCUUGAGUCUGGAAUAACUGUCCAACAGGGUUCUCUGUCUUUUUUUUUUGAGGCUCAGGGUUGGAAGACCUUGGAAUCUGCUGGAGCCGUGGAGGAGAUGGAUAUGACAGAACUUGAGAGUUUGUAGGUUUUCUCAGUGCUGGAAACGAUCAAAGCAGAUGUUUCAUUGAUAAUGCAAUGAAAAGAUGGAAAGACCUGACAGAAGUGAAAGAAGUUGAUUAUCUGUGGAAUGAUAUGUUGAAGUUAAGGAUUAUUUGUGCUUAGCACCUUUCUCACUUUCCAUGAACCACACUUUUCAUUCUUUAUGAUCUCGUAUCGUCCUUACUUUUGAUAUGAUAUACACAAUAUUUUUAAUACAAAAAUCUAGGCUACCUGUUCUUUAUUAUUCAUGGUUACCUCAUUUUACUACUCCUCUUCCUUUUGUUUGUUAAUCAGUGCUUGACUAUUACCUUAUUAAGAGAUGGAACAGUCAAAACUGAGAUUCAUGUCAGAAAUAUAUAAUUGUUCACUAAAGGUUUCCUCAGCUGUGGUCUAAACCUACUUGCCUGGAAAGCAGCAUUGUCCGAACACCCUGCUGCUACUCCUUGGAUGACUGCUCCUAUCACUUGGUAAUCUAGAAGCCAUUGUGGGGCAGGAAUGUCUGUUAUUUAAACUAGUAAAUGUAAACAAGAAGACCCAUUUUUGUCAUGAUUUAGUGGUAGUAUGUUUGCUUAAUGUAAAGGAGCACUUUUAGCGAUAGUAAAUCGCUAAGUUUGUGUCCUGGAUUGGUGGUUUUGGACAUACUUGUAAAAAGCAUGAGACUGUAAGUGUGGAAAACCACACCACUGGUUGUGAACUCCUAGCAACUGACUUCCCUCCUUGUGUCCUGGCAAAGAGGAUCUGUUGAGACCAAUUUGGGUUGUACUUGUGCUUUAAUGGUUCCUGUCCAUCUUGGGCUGUCUGUUAGAGUAAAUUGCAGAAUCCUGCUAUUAUCUGUUAGGCAUCCAAUUGUGUGACUUGUACAACAAUCAAGUUGAGAUUUUCUCACAGAAAAACCAUUCCUAACCUUAUGUUGAGUCUCCCAUCUGAAUCUGUUUGCAUUGCCAUGUCCAGCACAAACACUGCAGCUCUUGCUCCUGUUCUCUGUUGCAGCAGAGGGGAGCAGCAAAGCCUGCCUGGCUUCCAGAGCUGUCUGAACGCAACAGCAUCAGCUGUAAUAGCCAAGAUGAGUUCCAAGGGAAAGGAAGCUGCUAAGCUGGAGAACAAUAUUUAAUUUGGCAGUAGAUUUUAUGUUGGUAUUUCAAGGGAACUGUUAGCCAGUAUUAUGGGGGGGUGGGGAGGUAGGGUUGGAAUCACAGUUCAGGAAAUGCAUGGAGCUUUGAAACUUAAGUAAUAAGAAAACCAAUCACCUCUGUGACCAGAGGUGGAUGUGCAGGCCUAGGUUUAAAGCUUAGUCACGAGAUGAAAGAAGUCAUCUGUCAAUUCUUCCAAAGUCUGAUCAUUCCUGUAAAUCACUCCUGGAGCCUGUUUUUAACAGGUGACUGAGCUGAAGCUCUGAAGGGUUCUGUUGGAAACAAGUACUGCAAAAACGUAUCUGUAAUCUAGAUUUUAUCCAUUUCUGAAUACGUGUUAAACUUGUAAUACUAGGCAUUGUGUUCCCAUCUGUUAAUGUAAUUUUGUAGACAAUAACUUUAAAGAGUUUUGGCUUGUAAUUUGAUCUUUAAAUGUUAUUUCAUAAUGUAAUACGUUUGAUACUUAUUGUUUUUCUGAAAAACUCAUUUUACUCACAAACUGCCCAUUCUUUCUUCUUUUCAGUGAAGUUCAUACUGUUGAGGCUUCUCAUAGGCUGCCUUGUUAGCGUCAAGUAUUCCACUGAAACUGAAAUGAGUAAUGUUGUUCUCAGUAUGAAAACGCGUGUUAGUUUGAGGGUGUUUUAAUCUGCUUUUCAAUUAAAAUGCACCUUACUAUAAAUAAAGGUACUGCCCUGACUUUCUCACUUUGGCAAAAGUUUUUUCCAAAAGACUUCCCCAAGAAGUCAGAAGUUGUCAGGUUCGUAAGUGAAAGUGAAAGUAACUGCAAAUCAAAUGAGACCUGAACUUUUGAGGGGCUGCCCCGUGAUACAGUGUGCCCGUGUGUCUCAUGAAAAGCUGUGCUGGUCCGUUUGCAUGUCCAAGUUUUUUGGCUCCUUUUUGUUAAGGAGUGGGCUCCAUAUUUGAUCUACAGGUUAUUUGUUUGGGGCUUAAGUUCGGUAAUAUUGUUUAAACACUCAAAAAUUUAGGCAUAGGGUUGGUCUCUAAACUGACCUGUUGUUUAGCUGACAGUUUUGUGAGGUCUCUGGUUCAAAUAACUAAAGCCGUAUUAUGUUUAGGUUUUCCAAGAUUAACAUACAAAACAACUCCUUUUUCUUUUGUAUCUUUGAACCCAAUUUGUCCAUAUGCAGAAGAAGUUGGUUUUAUUGGAGCUCUUUUUGCAAAUAAAUUCUGCCACUUGUAUGUGUUUCUUGUUUUUGGUGAAAGGCAUAUCUUGUUGCCCUUCAGUCUGCAGCCUGUGGUUUUUUUUUUUUUUUCCUGCAGCUCUGUGUUCUUAUUCAUCAUUUGAUACAAAGAAUUCAACAGUGCAAUAAUAAAGUUGGGAAUAGGACUGCUUUGUAGGGGCUUCUUCAGAAGGAUACAGGAAUGCAGAUAGAAGGGAGUCUGCAGUAAUAUAGAAGAAUGGUCAAAGUAAUGUGGGUAUGAGCAAAGCUAGGCCAGACCUUAGGUCAGCCCUACUGAAUGGAGAAGAGCAGAAUAUCUCUGAACUGGGGACAAAAUCCAAAGUGAUACCGGAGUUAAAAUAAUCUGUGGUACUGUUAAUGGAAAGAAUCUGAGGUUGAUGGAGGUUUCAAGCUAACUGCUUGGGGUAUCGCAGUCCGAAUCUGUUUGAUUAUUCUUGCUACCUGUGUUUUUGUAGUUAGAUAAUUAGAAUUUUUAUGUGGACUUAAGUAUUUUGAUCUAGAAGUUCUUAGAAGGACCACAGCUGUCAUAUUUUAACAUGUUAAUAUCUCUAUUUUGAAAGAUACCCGUUUUCUCUUAAAGUGAGAUUGAUAUACCAGCAUAUAGGCACUUGUUAUCUAUAAGUUGGGUUCAUUUAUGGUCAAACAGUUGUAUUUAUUUGUCUCUCUAACCUGUUUGCUUUUUUUCAUCAACAGGAAGGGAAUUGGAAAUGCAUGACAAUCCCGGAGAACAAGAUCGUUUUAGUGACUCAUUUGUUUAUGCUAAAAUCUACUGUGAAUAGGUUCCAUGCUGACUGACAGGGCAUGACUUGCAUGUAAUUCUGGCUACUUGAAAAUUGUACCGAUUAACAUGAGGUCUGGCUUUGCGUUUGCCUGACAUGGUUCCACCAUGUUACCAGUGGUAACUUUCCCCACUACCGUUAGGAGCACUUAUGUACCACUUCUACGUCUCCUUCUUGUAUUCAAAAAUGUUCCAAGGGUGAGGCUAUGAAAAGCAAUACUGCUGUCUCUGUUGCUUCAUUUCUGUCCAACCACAACAAUUUUGCUCUUGAAUUUUAGAUCAAAACUGCAGCCAUAGGGAGUGCCAGGCCUGAGUGAUGUGAUGGACACACCCAGGGCGUAUGCUCAGGGAGUAUCAGGUGUUUAUAACUCCUACUCAUCAUGUUUCAUUGGUUUAUCUUAGAAGAGAAUAGUAUAUCCUAACUCAUCUGUUUUUACCCUUAGCUGCCUGAAAAGGAAAUGGCAAACAUCUUCUAGAAGUGCAAAAUCUAGAAUUAUCAAUGGGGGGGGAAAAAAGACCAACACCUUGAGAAUUCUAACUGCAGUGGCACUCAGCUGAAUCUUAUUUAUACAGGGUGUGGUAUAGCUGCCAGCUAGGAGAGGAGAUGGGAUGAGGGAGAGAGGCGCAGCUGUGCAUACAUGAGCCAAAGCAAACAGCUGCUCAGGUGAUCCUGGUAGGGCUACAUGAGCCCUUAUACCAUACCAGUGGACCUCGGCUUAAUCCGAGUGUGUGCCUGGGAUCUGUUGCAGCAUGGUAUCACUGACAUUGACUUUUUUCUUUCUUUCUUUUUUGAUAAAAGGUAACCUUAUUUAAGAGACAUGCAAACUUCUAUGUUUAUUAAGCAAUGAAGUGUGCUGCUCAUUUGGUCUGAUGUGGCUAGUGGAGAAAUCCACCAGAAGUGUCUCUAUUAGGCAUGCCGGGAGAGACUUAAGCGGAUAAGCGAAGAGAGAUUCCUUACUUCGUUUGUCAGUUAACAGUUAUUAUAAAAGAGCUCUUUUGCAUUACCAAAAUGAGUUAGAAAGUUUCAGCCUUGCAUGAGGGAUGUACCAUUCACUGAUGGCUUUUGCAGGGUGGUAUUUUCUUUGGGAUUCACUGUAGAUUUUUCAUUUCCAAUUUCUUUUAUUUGUUAUGAGGCUCGAGGAAAAAAGAAUAUUUGUAAAGGAAAAGCUGGGCAAUAUGCUGGAGAUGAUUAAAAACAAAAAACACAGCAAUAAAGCAAAACAGAAAAUCCCAAACAAAUAGAACCUAAUGAAAAGCUAACCUGUCAGCCUGUCUUAUUUGAAAAGGACACAGACUUGAAGUUUCUCAGACAGUUUUGUGUGUCUUUCCCCACCGCCACCCGAAUCGAAACUUCGUUUGGACUUGCAGCAUCUCCUUAUGCAUUAAUUGCAUGCAUAAAGUGUCACUUUUUAACACUUUAUAGGCGUCAUAAAGGAUCAGCACGUACUUUUAUGAAAGCUUGGGCUUGCGACCUGACACCUAGUUUAUGUAACCUAGAUAUACCCUGCUUGGUACAGCAAAGAGCAACUUGAGACACUUCAAAAUGUUUCUGACUUGUAAAACCAUAUUCACAGCUUUUAAACCACAAAAAUUUGAAUCUCUUCCGGAUGAAAGUGAUAGACUUGAGCACAUCUGUAGCUUCUUAACGUCACCAAGCAUCUUUUUCUAAUUUUUCCUUAACUCUUUGUGGUGUAAUUGCUGUUUACUUGUUGGACAACAAAGUGAAGCGGACUGUCUGCUGCUGACUGUUUGCAGAAGAUUGCUAUGCUCUGAAAAUCAUGUGGCGGGACGUUUGCAACAGGAUUUGCUAUAAAUGUUGUGAAGUAACCAAGAACAGCACGUUGCAUUUCUCCUACUUGGCGAUAGAGUGUGUUGAAAAUUUAUCUUUGAGUAAAAAACAGGUUUUUGCAUUCCUGGUGUAGGUUUAGAGAGGUAAAAUGCAAGAAAAAAGAAUGGUAGGUAUAUUUUAUGCUCAGUGCAUCUUAAAGAUAAUGUCUCCUGAUAAAAGCACUGAUUUGAAUCCUACUACAGAGCGUAUUCAUUCCUGCAGUCAACUUGUGCAGUCUCGUAGUGAAUACAGAAUUGGGAAACCAUGGGAAUGUUUUUGUUUUAUCUAUAGUAGGUUGGUGCUGAGUGGUGAUUGUGUAUUCAGUGGUAGUGGUCAUGCAGAAAGAACGUUGCACUACAGUUGCUGAUAAGUAUCCUUUCUUUAUUCCUUGCACAUCCGUGCACAUGUGUUGCUGUUAAUAGGAAAUCACUAACUUGGUCACUGUGACAAAGUUACUUACCUGCACGUAACUUCUGAGCUGCAUCUCUGGUGCCAGUUCUCAUUAGAUGGAUUAAAUUCAAUUAUAUUAGUACAAUGUAAGUAAUAUUGGAGAAAAGGGGAAAUAGCUUUUAGACUUACCAUGAAAAUACCUGAUUUCUAGCUAUAAAACAGCAACUGAUUUUUUUUCUUUGAGUAAAGGCUAAUUUUCAUGAGCAGAGUACUGGGAUGUUGUUGCAAAUUCCUGACACUCUGUAAGGCUUUUUGUUUGUUUGUUUUCCCUCGUGUAUUUGCAAAUUAUCUUGGACUGACCCAAAGCUACAUUACUUUCCUUUUUCUAAAAGGAAAAAGCGAGUAGUUCUGUUUUAAAAGUAUUUUCUAUUUCAUACAGUUCAGCAGAAGUUUUAUUUACGGAGCUUUUUUGUUUGUUUGUUUUUGUGGGGUGUUUUUGGAGGGAGGUUGAUGUAUUUUUUACUUAGUGCCUGCUGACGUGUUCAAACCCCAUUCUGAUAAUUUUUUGGUCAGCUUUGAUAUUUGGUGUAAAUGAGUCAAGCUUGUGCAAGGGAAAUUGAUAAGCAGAUUAAUACUGCGGGACCGUAUUCUAUUUUGGAUGUUCUAUAGUAGCUCUUUUAGUGGUUGUUUGUCAAGGGUUAAGUACGUUGUUAGCUAAGAUUAUCAUAGGUGGGAAAUAACUCAAAUUUGUCUCACUGCUGGGAGCCCAGGUUUGAGAGCUGUUAACGCUUUCUGUGUUCUGUUCUGUAUUUAAGACAUGAAUGGGACCGCGAAGAUCAGCUGGCAAGCAGGACUCGUUGAGCCACUCACUUCCCUAAUUGCCAGGAGGGAAACCAUUUUUAUUUAAUUUUAAUCUGCCAUAAGCUGAGCGUGCAGUUCUUUGAGCCACAAAAGCUAAAAUCCUGCACCAGCCUUUAAUGUAUGUUCAUACAUAAAAGCUGUUUAAUUGGUUUUGUUUGCCUGUGUCAGAAAUUAAGUGUGAAGUCUCCUGCCUUAUCCCUUCUGAUUAGAUCUGCAAAUCCAAUCUUUUAUAGAGGGUAUGUUCUAAACAACUAUGAUUGCUGCUUUGGUUGCAUCUUUUAUGAAUGCUUUGUUAAAAGCAGGAGGGCUUAUUUUAGAUUUGGUUUUCACACAUGUGGUAAAUAUCUGUCCCUGCUUACAGUUUCACGAUUUGCUCCAAUUUAACCUGCUUUUUUUCAGGCUUGUCCCCUUUUCUCUGAGCUGCAAGCACCUCUUAAGGUGUCAGCAUUAGCAUGCUACCAGUGGGAGGAAAAGUAAAACGAGGCACCUUAUUCAAAAGAAGCUCUUACAAAUAUGGUAGUGCACAAGUAUUGAAUCUCCAAACUGACAUCCCCUGUAAGUCUGGAUUGUUACUUUCCCUCGAACUUGGUUUACAGGUUUUUUCCUCGCUGUUUUUCUUGAAGUUUGUUUCCAAAUUCUCCUUGACUUUCUAUGCAUUAUCACCAUCAGUGGGUUGGUUGAUAGUGGCAUGAUACAUGCGUGGUAGGCAUAGAUAUCCAUGCCUCUGUAUAUUUGUAUUGUACAACUAUAAGUAAUUUUGUUUAAACACCUUUGUUUGCCUUGCUGCAGAUGUGUAUAGCCACACAGGGUGGCAUGCCAUGUAAUGUGGGAUUCUUGUUACACCAAGUAAAGCGUAUGUCAAGAUGCAAGCAACUUUAUUUUUUGAACUACCUCUGCAUACCGGAGUACCCCAAUUAUCUCUGCAUUAGUAGAAACAAUAUUUAUGUUGACUUUCUUUGUCCAAAGGGGCUUUGAUGUAGUCUUACCUUAUACCUUCAGUUAUUAUAGACUUUCUAGAUCUGACUUCAGCCUGUGGCGCCUGCUAAGUCCUCCAAAUCCGGCAUUUGCUGCUAGGACUUUAUUUUGCUGUAGUUCAACAUAUUUUUCUGCUUAGCUUGUCGAGUAGAAGAGAUGUGGUAGAUCAGCUAACGUAAUCUUUUUUUUUUUUUUGGAGUCUGGGAUUAGUUAAAUUAUCCAUGUUUUGUUCUCAGUACGGCAAAAGGAUGCAUUUUGAAUAGAUGUAUUCUUUGGAUUCCUGACUAAAGGUUAGAGUGACACAAUCAACCUCACGUUGACAAAUCAUGUGAAAUCUCACUUUUUGCUGGUACUUAGCCAUUUUCCCUCCUGUGACAGAAAUGCUUGUAUUAGUGAACAUGUUUGAAUGGAACUGAUCAGAUUGCAUGAGAUUUCAGAUAAUUGCAUUUUCCUUCUUUCCCUUCUGCAAAAGAGAAAACAGGUGGUAUAAGUGAG